Molecule: ribosomal RNA, 256 nt
Filed under: uncultured bacterium
Lineage: Bacteria
Description: partial 16S ribosomal RNA
Rfam family: Bacterial small subunit ribosomal RNA
Source: RNAcentral
UAAUACGGAGGGUGCAAGUGUUAUUCGGAAUCACUGGGCGUAAAGAGCACGUAGGCGGAUGGGUAAGUCAGAUGUGAAAUCCCGGGGCUCAACUUCGGAACUGCAUUUGAUACUGCCCGUCUUGAGUGUGGUAGAGGGGGAUGGAAUUCCCGGUGUAGAGGUGAAAUUCGUAGAUAUCGGGAGGAACACCAGAGGCGAAGGCGAUCCCCUGGGCCAUUACUGACGCUGAGGUGCGAAAGCGUGGGGAGCAAACAGG